RNAcentral lists this small RNA (520 nucleotides) under uncultured Glomus. RNAcentral's name for it is "SSU rRNA". It matches the Rfam family "Eukaryotic small subunit ribosomal RNA", at positions 569 to 1093 of the family's 1831-position model. Lineage: Eukaryota; Fungi; Glomeromycota; Glomeromycetes; Glomerales; Glomeraceae. The record is from RNAcentral.
AGCAGCCGCGGUAAUUCCAGCUCCAAUAGCGUAUAUUAAAGUUGCUGCAGUUAAAAAGCUCGUAGUUGAAUUUCGGGACUAAUAUGUCGGUCGUGCCUCGGUACGUACUGGCUUAUUGGUUUCUCCUUUCUGAAGAACCAUGAUGUCAUUUAUUUGGUGUCGUGGGGAAUCAGGACUGUUACUUUGAAAAAUUAGAGUGUUUAAAGCAGGCUCACGCUUGAAUACAUUAGCAUGGAAUAAUGAAAUAGGACGUUUGAUUCUAUUUUGUUGGUUUCUAGGAUCGACGUAAUGAUUAAUAGGGAUAGUUGGGGGCAUUAGUAUUCAAUUGUCAGAGGUGAAAUUCUUGGAUUUAUUGAAGACUAACUACUGCGAAAGCAUUUGCCAAGGAUGUUUUCAUUAAUCAAGAACGAAAGUUAGGGGAUCGAAGACGAUCAGAUACCGUCGUAGUCUUAACCAUAAACUAUGCCGACUAGGGAUCGGAUGAUGUUAAUUUUUUAAUGACUCAUUCGGCGCCUUACGG